GGAUUAGAUACCCUGGUAGUCCACGCCGUAAACGAUGUCAACUAGCCGUUGGGGGUCUUCGUACCCUUAGUGGCGCAGCUAACGCAUUAAGUUGACCGCCUGGGGAGUACGGUCGCAAGACUAAAACUCAAAGGAAUUGACGGGGGCCCGCACAAGCGGUGGAGCAUGUGGUUUAAUUCGAUGCAACGCGAAGAACCUUACCAGCUCUUGACAUCUUCGGAACUUUCUAGAGAUAGAUUGGUGCCUUCGGGAACCGAAUGACAGGUGCUGCAUGGCUGUCGUCAGCUCGUGCCG
Molecule: ribosomal RNA, 294 nt
Filed under: uncultured bacterium
Lineage: Bacteria
Description: partial 16S ribosomal RNA
Rfam family: Bacterial small subunit ribosomal RNA
Source: RNAcentral